Molecule: small nucleolar RNA, 233 nt
Organism: Anolis sagrei ordinatus
Lineage: Eukaryota; Metazoa; Chordata; Lepidosauria; Squamata; Anolidae
Product: small nucleolar RNA U3
Source: RefSeq, a predicted model, not a curated record
UGGAGUUCAAGGGAUCAUUUCUAGAACAACUUUCUAGAAAGGUGCACUCAAAAGUGAUGGUUUGUCUGAUCCAUGAGGAGAAGGCAAAGUAUUUUCUUCUGUGCACUAAGGAGUGAGCAGGGCGCCUAGCCACAGAUGUUCCCACCCACCAUGUUGGUGGAUCUUCUGAUGGCUGUUGAUGACAAUUCUGUCUUCUUCUGCUGAGGAGACCAGAAGGACACAGGCCGAAUGGC